RNAcentral lists this ribosomal RNA (1238 nucleotides) under metagenome. Its description in RNAcentral is "bacterial LSU rRNA". It matches the Rfam family "Bacterial large subunit ribosomal RNA", at positions 1564 to 2815 of the family's 2925-position model. The record is from RNAcentral.
UGAUGACGAGACGCUAAGGCGUUGAAGCAGUGUAUGUCAGACUUCCAAGAAAAGCUCGCAAUGUCACAAAUAACAAAUGCCUGUACCAUAACCGACACAGGUGGGUAGGUAGAGUAUACUAAGGGGCGCGAGAUAACUCUCUCUAAGGGACUCGGCAAAAUGACUCCGUAACUUCGGGAGAAGGAGUGCCUUAUUUAUAAGGUUGCAAUAACAAGAUCCAAGCAACUGUUUAUCAAAAACACAGGUCUCCGCUAAGUCGUAAGACGAUGUAUGGGGGCUGACGCCUGCCCAGUGCCAGAAGGUUAAAGAAGUUGGUUAGUGUAUGCGAAGCUGAUGACUGAAGCCCUGGUGAACGGCGGCCGUAACAAUAACGGUCCUAAGGUAGCGAAAUUCCUUGUCGGGUAAGUUCCGACCCGCACGAAAGGCGUAAUGAUUUGGAUACUGUCUCGGAGAGAGGCUCGGUGAAAUAGACUUGUCUGUGAAGAUGCGGACUACCUGCACCAGGACAGAAAGACCCUAUGAAGCUUUACUGUAACUUGAAAUUGGAAUUGGACUUUGCUUGCGCAGUAUAGGUGGGAAGCGUUGAAAAUAUUCUUGCGGGAGUAUUGGAGCUAUCAGUGAGAUACCACUCUUGUAAUGUUAGAUUUCUAACUUUGAACCAUAAUCUGGUCAAAGAACAGUUUCAGGUGGGCAGUUUGACUGGGGCGGUCGCCUCCCAAAUGGUAACGGAGGCGUACAAAGGUUUCCUCUGAACGGAUAGAAAUCGUAUCUAGAGUGUAAAGGCACGAAGCUUGACUGUGAGACCUACAAGUCGAGCAGGGACGAAAGUCGGUCUUAGUGAUCUGACGGUACUGAGUGGAAAGGCCGUCACUCAACGGAUAAAAGUUACUCUAGGAUAACAGGCUGAUCUCCCCCAAGAGUUCACAUCGACGGGGAGGUUUGGCACCUCGAUGUCGGCUCAUCGCAUCCUGGGGCGGUAGUACGUCCCAAGGGUUGGGCUGUUCGCCCAUGAAAGCGGUACGCGAGCUGGGUUCAGAACGUCGUGAGACAGUUCGGUCCAUAUCCGGUGUAGGCGCUAGAAUAUUGAGAGGAGCCUUCUUUAGUACGAGAGGACCGAGAAGGACACACCGCUGGUGUACCAGUUAUCGUGCCAACGGUAAACGCUGGGUAGCUAUGUGUGGAGUGGAUAACCGCUGAAAGCAUCUAAGUGGGAAGCCCACCUCGAGAUGAGUAUUCUC